CUGGUUGAUCCUGCCAGUAGUCAUAUGCUUGUCUCAAAGCUUAAGCCAUGCAAGUCUCAGUACAAGCCGAAUUAAGGUGAAACCGCAAAAUGCUCAUUAAAUCAGUUUUGGUUCACUAGUGCUGAACAUAUUUGUGUUGGACAACUGUGGUAAUUCUAGAGCUAAUACAUGCAACAAAGUCCCGACCAGUGAUGGAAAGGACGCUUUUAUUAGAUCAAAACCAAUCGGUACGGUUUCGCCGUACCGUUUGACUUCUGAUGACUCUGAAUAACCAAAGCGGAUCGCACGGUCAACGUACCGGCGACAAAUCUUUCAAAUGCCUGACUUAUCAACUGUCGAUGGUAGAUUCUACGUCUACCAUGGUAAUAACGGGUAACGGGGAAUCAGGGUUCGAUUCCGGAGAGGGAGCCUGAGAAACAGCUACCACAUCCAAGGAAGGCAGCAGGCACGCAAAUUACCCACUCCCGGCACGGGGAGGUAGUGACAAAAAAUAACGAUACGGGACUCAUCCGAGGCCCCGUAAUCGGAAUGAGUACACUUUAAAUCCUUUAACAAGGAUCCAUUGGAGGGCAAGUCUGGUGCCAGCAGCCGCGG
This 594-nucleotide ribosomal RNA is filed under the name Gelastocoris oculatus. Its description in RNAcentral is "bacterial SSU rRNA". It matches the Rfam family "Eukaryotic small subunit ribosomal RNA", at positions 4 to 579 of the family's 1831-position model. Lineage: Eukaryota; Metazoa; Arthropoda; Insecta; Hemiptera; Gelastocoridae. The record is from RNAcentral.